RNAcentral lists this ribosomal RNA (269 nucleotides) under uncultured bacterium. Its description in RNAcentral is "partial 16S ribosomal RNA". It matches the Rfam family "Bacterial small subunit ribosomal RNA", at positions 793 to 1055 of the family's 1533-position model. The record is from RNAcentral.
GUCCACGCCGUAAACGAUGGACACUAGGCGUCGGGGGGAGGCGACCCCUCCGGUGCCGUCGCUAACGCAGUAAGUGUCCCGCCUGGGGAGGUACGGCCGCAAGGCUGAAACUCAAAGGAAAUUGACGGGGGCCCGGCACAAGCGGUGGAGCAUGUGGUUUAAUUCGAAGCAACGCGAAGAACCUUACCUGGGCUUGACAUGCUGGUGAAAGCCGGUGGAAACAUCGGCCCCUCUUCGGAGCGCCAGCACAGGUGCUGCAUGGCUGUCGU